This 253-nucleotide ribosomal RNA is filed under the name uncultured bacterium. Its description in RNAcentral is "partial 16S ribosomal RNA". It matches the Rfam family "Bacterial small subunit ribosomal RNA", at positions 524 to 776 of the family's 1533-position model. The record is from RNAcentral.
UACGGAGGAUCCAAGCGUUAUCCGGAUUUAUUGGGUUUAAAGGGUGCGUAGGCGGAUUGAUAAGUUAGAGGUGAAAUGUCCGAGCUCAACUCGGGAACUGCCUCUAAUACUGUUGAUCUAGAGAGUAGAUGCGGUAGGCGGAAUGUAUGGUGUAGCGGUGAAAUGCUUAUAGAUCAUACAGAACACCGAUUGCGAAGGCAGCUUACCAAUCUAUAUCUGACGUUGAGGCACGAAAGCGUGGGGAGCAAACAGG